RNAcentral lists this ribosomal RNA (588 nucleotides) under uncultured bacterium. Its description in RNAcentral is "partial 16S ribosomal RNA". It matches the Rfam family "Bacterial small subunit ribosomal RNA", at positions 356 to 941 of the family's 1533-position model. The record is from RNAcentral.
UGGGAAUAUGGACAAUGGGCGCAAGCCUGAUCCAGCAAUGCCGCGUGUGUGAAGAAGGCCUUCGGGUUGUAAAGCACUUUUAUCAGGAGCGAAACGCUGUCGGCUAAUACCCGGCGGAACUGACGGUACCUGAGGAAUAAGCACCGGCUAACUUCGUGCCAGCAGCCGCGGUAAUACGAAGGGUGCAAGCGUUAAUCGGAAUUACUGGGCGUAAAGCGUGCGUAGGCGGUUUCUUAAGUCUGCUGUGAAAUCCCCGGGCUCAACCUGGGAAUGGCAGUGGAUACUGGGAGGCUAGAGUGUGUCAGAGGGUGGUGGAAUUCCCGGUGUAGCGGUGAAAUGCGUAGAGAUCGGGAGGAACAUCAGUGGCGAAGGCGGCCACCUGGGACAACACUGACGCUGAGGCACGAAAGCGUGGGGAGCAAACAGGAUUAGAUACCCUGGUAGUCCACGCCCUAAAACGAUGCGAACUGGAUGUUGGUCUCAACUCGGAGAUCAGUGUCGAAGCUAACGCGUUAAGUUCGCCGCCUGGGGAGUACGGUCGCAAGACUGAAACUUAAAUGAAUUGACGGGGGUCAUAGCUGUUUCCUG